ACUCAAAUGAAUUGACGGGGACCCGCACAAGCAGUGGAGUAUGUGGUUUAAUUCGACGCAACGCGAAGAACCUUACCAGGGAUUGACAUCCUACUAACGAAGUAGAGAUACAUUAGGUGCCCUUCGGGGAAAGUAGAGACAGGUGGUGCAUGGUUGUCGUCAGCUCGUGUCGUGAGAUGUUGGGUUAAGUCCCGCAACGAGCGCAACCCUUAUCGUUAGUUGCUACGCAAGAGCACUCUAGCGAGACUGCCGUUGAUAAAACGGAGGAAGGUGGGGAUGAUGUCAAAUCAUCAUGCCCUUUAUGCCCUGGGCUACACACGUACUACAAUGGCGAAAACAGAGGGAAGCGAAAUAGUGAUAUGGAGCAAAACCCUAAAUAUCGUCUCAGUUCAGAUUGCAGGCUGAAACCCGCCUGCAUGAAGUCGGAAUUGCUAGUAAUCGCGGAUCAGCAUGCCGCGGUGAAUACGUUCCCGGGUCUUGUACACACCGCCCGU
RNAcentral lists this ribosomal RNA (494 nucleotides) under uncultured bacterium. Its description in RNAcentral is "bacterial SSU rRNA". It matches the Rfam family "Bacterial small subunit ribosomal RNA", at positions 899 to 1397 of the family's 1533-position model. The record is from RNAcentral.